UGGGGAAUAUUGGACAAUGGGCGAAAGCCUGAUCCAGCAAUACCGCGUGUGCGAUGAAGGUCUUCGGAUUGUAAAGCACUUUUGAUCGGAAAGAGGGUCGGGGCGUUAAUAGCGCUACCGGCUGACGUUACCGAUAGAAUAAGCACCGGCUAACUCUGUGCCAGCAGCCGCGGUAAGACAGAGGGUGCGAGCGUUAAUCGAAAUAACUGGGCGUAAAGCGUGCGUAGGCGGGACAGUAAGUCAUAUGUGAAAAACCGGGGCUCAACCUCGGGACUGCAUGUGAUACUGCUGUUCUAGAGUUUGGUAGAGGUAAGUGGAAUUUCCGGUGUAGCGGUGAAAUGCAUAGAUAUCGGAAGGAACACCAGUGGCGAAGGCGGCUUACUGGGCCAAUACUGACGCUGAGGCACGAAAGCGUGGGGAGCAAACAG
Molecule: ribosomal RNA, 428 nt
Filed under: uncultured bacterium
Lineage: Bacteria
Description: bacterial SSU rRNA
Rfam family: Bacterial small subunit ribosomal RNA
Source: RNAcentral